AGAAAAUAGGUUAUAAGCGAAUGGUGGAUGCCUUGGGAUAUUAAAGUGACGAAAGACGUGGCGUGCCUGCGAUAAGCAUCGGGGAGCUGGCUAGCAAGCUUUGAUCCGGUGAUGUCUGAAUGGGGAAACCCUAUUGCGGUAAUACGCGAUAAUCUUUGCAGCAAUGCAGAGAAGCUAACCCGCUGAAGUGAAACAUCUCAGUAAGCGGAGGAACAAAAAACAAUGAAAAUUUUUAUUCCCUGUUGAUUAGAAUUCUGAAUAGGGAUUAAGAAUUUUCGCAUUCCCUUAGUAGUGGCGAGCGAAAAGGGAACAGUCUAAACCAAUAUUUAUAUUGGGGUUGAAAGGGUUUAACGUCGGGAGCAUUAUUUAAUUCUCGAAUAGUCGAGAAUUGGAUAAUGACUAUCGAGGGAGAGCAUCUAGGUAAUUAUUUAGAAAAAGCACCCUGGAAAGGGGCACCAUAGAGGGUAAUAGUCCCGUAUUUAAAAAAUAUUUUACGCUCCUUGUUAGAUUUCUUAAGUACUGUCGGGCAUGAUAACCUGGCAGGAAGCAGGCCGAACUAUCGGCCAAGACUAAAUAUUUAAUAUCACCGAUAGUGAACCAGUACCGUGAGGGAAAGGUGAAAAGUAGGGGGAUGACCCCGGUGAAAUAGAACCUGAAACCAUUUGCUUACAAAGAGUCGGAGCACUUUAAUGUGUGACGGCGUGCUUUUUGCAGAACGAGCCAACGAGUUUGUCUACACAGUUUGUCUAAGCCCUUACGGGGUGAAGGCGUAGCGAAAGCGAGUGUGAAUAGCGCGAAAUAUACUGUGUGUACAAGACCCGAAGCGUGACGAGCUUACCAUGUGCAGGCUGAAGUCUGUAGAAAUACGGAUGGAGGGCCGAACCCGUGAGUCGUGCAAUCCUCUGGGAUGACGUGUGGUAAGGAGUGAAAAGCUAAUCGAGUUACGUAAUAGCUGGUUCUUCCCGAAACAGCUUUGGGGCUGGCGUCUAGAGCCAAUAUAUGGGGGUAGAGCACUAAAUAGAAAUCCUUGGUCUUUGACCAGGUUUUCUAAUUAAACUCCGAAUACCAUAUAUUUUGUCUAGGCAGUUAGACCGUGGGGGCUAAGCUCCAUGGUCAAAAGAGUAACAGCUCAGAUCAUCGUCUAAGGUCCCUAAAUUAAACUAAGUGUUUUGAAGGAAGUGUUUUGCCCUCGACAGGCAGGAAGUUAGCUUAGAGGUAGCUAUCUUUUAAAGAGUGUGUAACAACUCACUGUCCUAACUUUGCGGAUUUCCGCGAAGAGGGGCGAAGUGCGCCAAAGAUUUCCGGGGCUAAAGUUUAAUACCGAAGACAUGGAAUAGUUUUGCCUUCGGGCAAAACGAUUGGUAGGGAAGCGUUCUUAGCUGCAGUGAAGGCGAAGAGGAAUCGACGCUGGAGCGCUAAGAAGUGAGAAUGUUGGCCUGAGUAACCGCAAUAGGGGUGAAAGCCCCCUACACCGAAAGUCCAAGGUUUCCUUGGCAAUGGUAUUCAACCAAGGGUUAGUCGGUCCUAAGGUAUAGCCGAAAGGCGCAACUAAUGGAUAGUCGGUUAAUAUUCCGACACUUGGAUUUGUUUCUACUACGUUGCACAGCACAAUAAUGUUAGCGGAUUAUCGGAUUUCACGUUCCUGGCUUUUAAGGGCAGGGAAAAGCUGGUUUAAACACCGGCAAUUGACGUGACCGUGCUGUCUAGAAAAGGCGUAGUGGGCUAAGCAGAUUCAAACCGUACCGCAAACCGACACAGGUGGACAAGCGUAAGUAUGCUAAGGUGAACGGGUGAAACCUCGUUAAGGAACUAGGCAAACAAGUGGACGUAAGUUCGCAAUAUGUCCUGCCCAAGAUCGCAAGAUUAUUGGGCUGCAACAACCGUCUUUCAACCGACUGUUUAUCAAAAACACAGCUCCCUGCUAACUCGCAAGAGGAUGUAUAGGGGGUGAGGCCUGACCAGUGCUGGAAUGUUAAGUUUGGGAGUGAUAGUCGCAAGAUUAUUGCCCACUGAAUGAAGCACCAGUGAACGUCGGCGAUAACUAUAAUCGUCCAAAGGUAGCGUAAUCCCUUGCCGGGUAAGUUCCGGCCCGCAUGAAUGGCUUAACGAGUUGAAAACUGUCUCAACGAGGCGCCCGGUGAAAAUGCAAUACCAGUGAAGAUGCUGGUUACCUGCGGCUAGACGGAAAGACCCCGGAAGCUUUACUGUAGUUAGAUAUUGAGUUUUAAUUUUUGAUGCGUAGCGUAGUGGUGAGCCUUUGAAGCGGUAAUUUCGGUUACCGU
Molecule: ribosomal RNA, 2282 nt
Filed under: bacterium
Lineage: Bacteria
Description: partial 23S ribosomal RNA
Rfam family: Bacterial large subunit ribosomal RNA
Source: RNAcentral